This 208-nucleotide long non-coding RNA is filed under the name Glycine max (soybean). Its description in RNAcentral is "long non-coding RNA (GMAX_LNC001269)". The record is from RNAcentral. Lineage: Eukaryota; Viridiplantae; Streptophyta; Magnoliopsida; Fabales; Fabaceae.
CCAAAUGGACCCUCAAUGUCUUUGGUCCUUCACUUCGUUGAGGUCCAUUAGGCAUAACUAUUGUCCCUAUCGAUGUCGGCAAAACUUAUAUCUUGCACCCAAUAGGGCCAUUUUGCUAUUACUAAUCUGCAUGGUGUGCUCACAUUGCCAGGCCACAAAACACUGUAUGUACCAAAACAGGCCCAGAGUGGGUCAUGUGAAAACUGAU